Molecule: ribosomal RNA, 465 nt
Filed under: Vreelandella stevensii
Lineage: Bacteria; Pseudomonadati; Pseudomonadota; Gammaproteobacteria; Oceanospirillales; Halomonadaceae
Description: partial 16S ribosomal RNA
Rfam family: Bacterial small subunit ribosomal RNA
Source: RNAcentral
CCUACGGGGGGCUGCAGUGGGGAAUAUUGGACAAUGGGGGGAACCCUGAUCCAGCCAUGCCGCGUGUGUGAAGAAGGCCCUCGGGUUGUAAAGCACUUUCAGUGAGGAAGAACGCCUGGUGGUUAAUACCCAUCAGGAAAGACAUCACUCACAGUAGAAGCACCGGCUAACUCCGUGCCAGCAGCCGCGGUAAUACGGAGGGUGCGAGCGUUAAUCGGAAUUACUGGGCGUAAAGCGCGCGUAGGUGGCUUGAUAAGCCGGUUGUGAAAGCCCCGGGCUCAACCUGGGAACGGCAUCCGGAACUGUCAAGCUAGAGUGCAGGAGAGGAAGGUAGAAUUCCCGGUGUAGCGGUGAAAUGCGUAGAGAUCGGGAGGAAUACCAGUGGCGAAGGCGGCCUUCUGGACUGACACUGACACUGAGGUGCGAAAGCGUGGGUAGCAAACAGGAUUAGAUACCCGAGUAGUC